Molecule: long non-coding RNA, 1338 nt
Filed under: Bos grunniens (domestic yak)
Lineage: Eukaryota; Metazoa; Chordata; Mammalia; Artiodactyla; Bovidae
Description: lncRNA (ENSBGRG00000016402.1)
Source: RNAcentral
UAAGCUAUGAAUGAGUUUGCAACUCAGGCAUUUUGGUCCUUUCCCCCAAAGUUGUUAUUUUCUAUUUAUUUAUUUCUUAAAUGCCAAAUAGUAAGGUCUACAUCCAAUUGUGAUAUUGAAGAACCUCUUCUCUAUUUAGAGACCAUGUGUCCUAAAAAGAACACUCUGCAUGUUACUAAUUUGGAAAAAAAUGGCUACAGAAGAAAAUUCUAUGCUAAAUUCCUUGAAAAUAAAUUAUAUUUUCUUUUCAACUGACACCAAAGAAUUUCAGCUUUAAUUGAAUCACUUGUAAUCAAAGCAGUGGUCAAAGAAGUACAGGAGUAUAUUAAAAUGUGUAAGCAUCUGGUAAAUGAACUUAACUGUUGCAUUUCAUCGUUUAUUUGCAUUCUAGAGAUAUCUAAUUGUGUCUAAAUAAAUACUUUAUAAUCUUGUCUUUCAAAACCAUCUGAACAUACAUUUCCAAAUAUUUGUCUCCUCCUUUGUAUAGCAAUUACACUGGCCACCAAUAGCUCAGGCACAGGUAAGCAAUAAUCAUCAACCACAACUUAAGAGGGACUUAAAAUCCAAAACUUCCUUUUGCAGUAUUAUUUAUACCUUUGCAAUUACAUUUUUUGGGGGGGAUUUUUUUUCCUGUUUUUGUUUUGUUUUUAAGAUUUUAGAAAAAAAUGUUGUACAAACUGAUAAAGAGUCUUGACUUCUUACUUGUGGUCUAUAAAGUUUAAACUUUAACUUUAUGUUUUGAUAUCUAUUUAACUAUUUAAUCAGAUAUCUCUGAAACAUUAAUUUCAAGUUGAUCCAUUUUAUAUAUGACCAUAGAUGUUAUCAGAAACAUAAUUUUCCUUCCAUAUAAAACAUUUUUUCCCAUUAUUUUCUCCAAUUCAGUAGCUUCCAUUCCAGGGAUUACAUCAAGCAGUGAAAUAACAGGAACAACUCUGAGUUUCCUCAGUGAAACUUUUACCACAGGUGUUACAAGAACUCCAGCUCCCAUCACCUCCACAGCUGGAAGUGUGGGCACCACAGGACUAGUGGGCUCCACCUUCACCAGUUCUGGGCACAUAUCAGGAGGAACAGAAGAUCCUACUGCACCAGUAAGAGGUGAGGAAGAUGGCACACCUGGGCAACCAAGCACAGGAGUGACAAGCUCAGGAGAAGCAGGGACCCCAAGAACUUCAGAAAGCUUCACAACCACCCCUGGGAGCAAGAGCACAAAUGCAGACUCAGCUGUCCCAGACACAACCCCUGGAGGCCAACCAGGUACGGAAAUGGGCAACAUUGACAGUCAUCUGAGGCAUCUUCUUACUGACCUUAAGGAAGUCACCAGCACUUCUGAGUUAUUCC